RNAcentral lists this ribosomal RNA (697 nucleotides) under uncultured bacterium. Its description in RNAcentral is "bacterial SSU rRNA". It matches the Rfam family "Bacterial small subunit ribosomal RNA", at positions 134 to 851 of the family's 1533-position model. The record is from RNAcentral.
UACACACGGAUAACAUACCGAAAGGUAUGCUAAUACGGGAUAAUAUAUUUGAGAGGCAUCUCUUAAAUAUCAAAGGUGAGCCAGUACAGGAUGGACCCGCGUCUGAUUAGCUAGUUGGUAAGGUAACGGCUUACCAAGGCAACGAUCAGUAGCCGACCUGAGAGGGUGAUCGGCCACAUUGGAACUGAGACACGGUCCAAACUCCUACGGGAGGCAGCAGUGGGGAAUAUUGCACAAUGGGCGAAAGCCUGAUGCAGCAACGCCGCGUGAGUGAUGAAGGCCUUCGGGUCGUAAAACUCUGUCCUCAAGGAAGAUAAUGACGGUACUUGAGGAGGAAGCCCCGGCUAACUACGUGCCAGCAGCCGCGGUAAUACGUAGGGGGCUAGCGUUAUCCGGAUUUACUGGGCGUAAAGGGUGCGUAGGCGGUCUUUCAAGUCAGGAGUGAAAGGCUGCGGCUCAACCGUAGUAAGCUCUUGAAACUGGGAGACUUGAGUGCAGGAGAGGAGAGUGGAAUUCCUAGUGUAGCGGUGAAAUGCGUAGAUAUUAGGAGGAACACCAGUUGCGAAGGCGGCUCUCUGGACUGUAACUGACGCUGAGGCACGAAAGCGUGGGGAGCAAACAGGAUUAGAUACCCUGGUAGUCCACGCUGUAAACGAUGAGUACUAGGUGUCGGGGGUUACCCCCUUCGGUGCCGCAG